UUCAAUAUGAAAAUUGGAUAAGUUUGUGAUUAAAAUCACACCUGUAACAGUUGCGUUAUUAUUCUUUAUAAUGAAAAAAAUGGAAUACAAUAAGAUAGGGGCAUUGAAAAGAUUUUCUACGGUUUUAGUAUUUUUCGCCCACCAUCAAUGCCACAACACUCGAUGACAUCAGGACAACAGCUGGGAGGGGGUACAAAAGCUGUGGUGAAUGUCAUGAUGGCCAUGACUACCAUGAUCACUAACACCAACUGCGCUACAUAUUUCAUUUUUCCUUCCUUCUCUAUAAUAAGAUCUUUUAUAACAAAGUAAUGAUGUAUUUCUCUUUUG
Molecule: long non-coding RNA, 327 nt
Filed under: Daucus carota (carrot)
Lineage: Eukaryota; Viridiplantae; Streptophyta; Magnoliopsida; Apiales; Apiaceae
Description: long non-coding RNA (DCAR_LNC002397)
Source: RNAcentral